RNAcentral lists this transfer RNA (75 nucleotides) under Caudoviricetes sp. RNAcentral's name for it is "tRNA-OTHER". Lineage: Duplodnaviria; Heunggongvirae; Uroviricota; Caudoviricetes. The record is from RNAcentral.
UGCGCAUGGUAACUGGAUAACCAGCCUGGGCCACGCAUAACCCAGGAGAUUCAGGUUCGAAUCCUGACUCCGCAA